GACGUAGGCGCGAGCGUUUGUCCGGAUUUAUUGGGCGUAAAGAGCUCGUAGGCGGCUUGUCGCGUCGUCCGUGAAAACCUGCAGCUCAACUGCAGGCUUGCGGUCGAUACGGGCAGGCUGGAGUUCGGUAGGGGAGACUGGAAUUCCUGGUGUAGCGGUGAAAUGCGCAGAUAUCAGGAAGAACACCCGUGGCUAAGGCGGCUCUCUAGUACGGUACUGACGCUGAGACGCGAAAGCGUGGGGAGCGAACAGG
This 253-nucleotide ribosomal RNA is filed under the name uncultured bacterium. RNAcentral's name for it is "partial 16S ribosomal RNA". It matches the Rfam family "Bacterial small subunit ribosomal RNA", at positions 524 to 776 of the family's 1533-position model. The record is from RNAcentral.